GUGGACGUGAUGUAGCCUGGUUAACAUGCAAGCCUGUGGUGCUUGAUAUCGGGAGUUCAAAUCUCCCCGUUCACC
RNAcentral lists this transfer RNA (75 nucleotides) under Candidatus Woesearchaeota archaeon. RNAcentral describes it as "tRNA-His". It matches the Rfam family "tRNA". From Rfam's summary of the family: Transfer RNA (tRNA) molecules are approximately 80 nucleotides in length. Their secondary structure includes four short double-helical elements and three loops (D, anti-codon, and T loops). Further hydrogen bonds mediate the characteristic L-shaped molecular structure. tRNAs have two regions of fundamental functional importance: the anti-codon, which is responsible for specific mRNA codon recognition, and the 3' end, to which the tRNAs corresponding amino acid is attached (by aminoacyl-tRNA synthetases). tRNAs cope with the degeneracy of the genetic code in two manners: having more than one tRNA (with a specific anti-codon) for a particular amino acid; and 'wobble' base-pairing, i.e. permitting non-standard base-pairing at the 3rd anti-codon position. The record is from RNAcentral. Lineage: Archaea; Nanobdellati; Candidatus Woesearchaeota.